UGUAGUCAUAUGCUUGUCUCAAGGAUUAAGCCAUGCAUGUCUAAGUAUAAGCAAUCUAUACUGUGAAACUGCGAAUGGCUCAUUAAAUCAGUUAUCGUUUAUUUGAUAGUACCUUACUACUUGGAUAACCGUGGUAAUUCUAGAGCUAAUACAUGCUAAAAACCCCGACUUUUGGAGGGGUGUAUUUAUUAGAUAAAAAACCAAUGCCCUUCGGGGCUCCUUGGUGAUUCAUAAUAACUUAACGAAUCGCAUGGCCUUGUGCCGGCGAUGGUUCAUUCAAAUUUCUGCCCUAUCAACUUUCGAUGGUUAGGUCUUGGCUAACCAUGGUUUCAACGGGUAACGGGGAAUUAGGGUUCUAUUCCGGAGAGUGAGCCUGAGAAACGGCUAACACAUCCAAGGAAGGCAGCAGGCGCGCAAAUUACCCAAUCCCGACACGGGGAGGUAGUGACAAUAAAUACUGAUCCAGGGCUCUUUUGGGUCUUGGAAUUGGAAUGAGUACAAUUUAAAUCCCUUAACGAGGAACAAUUGGAGGGCAAGUCUGGUAAUCG
Molecule: ribosomal RNA, 548 nt
Filed under: uncultured eukaryote
Lineage: Eukaryota
Description: SSU rRNA
Rfam family: Eukaryotic small subunit ribosomal RNA
Source: RNAcentral